Molecule: ribosomal RNA, 440 nt
Filed under: uncultured bacterium
Lineage: Bacteria
Description: partial 16S ribosomal RNA
Rfam family: Bacterial small subunit ribosomal RNA
Source: RNAcentral
CCUACGGGAGGCAGCAGUGGGGAAUAUUGCACAAUGGGGGAAACCCUGAUGCAGCGACGCCGCGUGAGUGAAGAAGUAAUUCGGUACGUAAAGCUCUAUCAGCAGGGAAGAAAAUGACGGUACCUGAGUAAGAAGCCACGGAUAACUCCGGGCCAGAAGCCGCGGUAAUACGGAGGAGGCGAGCGUUAUACGGAUUUACUGGGUGUAAAGGGAGCGUAGAGGGUGGGCCAAGUCUGGAGUGAAAGGCCGCAGCUUAACUGCGGAACUGCUUUGGAAACUGGGGAACUAGAGUACGUGAGGGGUAAGCGGAAUUCCUAGUGUAGCGGUGAAAUGCGUAGAUAUUAGGAGGAACACCGGUGGCGAAGGCGGCUUACUGGACCGUAACUGACGUUGAGGCUCGAAAGCGUGGGGAGCAAACAGGAUUAGAUACCCGUGUAGUC